RNAcentral lists this ribosomal RNA (469 nucleotides) under uncultured Anaerolineaceae bacterium. Its description in RNAcentral is "bacterial SSU rRNA". It matches the Rfam family "Bacterial small subunit ribosomal RNA", at positions 901 to 1382 of the family's 1533-position model. Lineage: Bacteria; Bacillati; Chloroflexota; Anaerolineae; Anaerolineales; Anaerolineaceae. The record is from RNAcentral.
UUAAAUGAAUUGACGGGGACCCGCACAAGCAGCGGAGCGUGUGGUUUAAUUCGUUGCUACACGAAGAACCUUACCUGGGUUUGACAUAUAAGUUGUAGGGAACUGAAAAGGGACCGACCCUUCGGGGAGCUUAUACAGGUGUUGCAUGGCUGUCGUCAGCUCGUGUCGUGAGAUGUUCGGUUAAGUCCGCUAACGAGCGCAACCCUCGCCGUAUGUUACAAGUGUCAUACGGGACUGCCGGUAAAAAGCCGGAGGAAGGUGAGGAUGAUGUCAAGUCAGCAUGACCUUUAUAUCCAGGGCUACACACACGCUACAAUGGUCUGUACAAUGGGUCGCCAAGCCGCGAGGCGGAGCCAAUCCUCCAAAACCGGCCUCAGUUCAGAUUGUAGGCUGCAACUCGCCUGCAUGAAGUUGGAGUUGCUAGUAAACGCAGGUCAGCCAUACUGCGUUGAAUACGUUCCCGGGGCUU